UACACCCACUAUCCGCCCGGGAACUACGAGCAAAAGCUUAAAACCCAAAGGACUUGGCGGUGCUUUAGAUCCACCUAGAGGAGCCUGUUCUAGAACCGAUAACCCCCGUUCAACCUCACCCUUCCUUGUUUUUCCCGCCUAUAUACCGCCGUCGUCAGCUUACCCUCUGAAGGUCUAAUAGUAAGCAAGACUGGUACAACCUAAAACGUCAGGUCGAGGUGUAGCGUAUGGAAGGGGAAGAAAUGGGCUACAUUCGCUACUACAGCGAACACGGAAGGUGCACUGAAACGUACACCCGAAGGAGGAUUUAGCAGUAAGCAGGAAAUAGAGCGUCCCGCUGAAAUCGGCCCUGAAGCGCGCACACACCGCCCGUCACUCUCCCCGAAAACACCUACUCAGUUAAUUAAAACCUAAUAAUCAUAGAGGGGAGGCAAGUCGUAACAUGGUAAGUGUACCGGAAGGUGCACUUGGAAAAAU
RNAcentral lists this ribosomal RNA (477 nucleotides) under Hexagrammos agrammus (spotbelly greenling). RNAcentral's name for it is "partial 12S rRNA". It matches the Rfam family "Bacterial small subunit ribosomal RNA", at positions 856 to 1533 of the family's 1533-position model. The record is from RNAcentral. Lineage: Eukaryota; Metazoa; Chordata; Actinopteri; Perciformes; Hexagrammidae.